CCUACGGGGGGCAGCAGUGGGGAAUAUUGGGCAAUGGGCGCAAGCCUGACCCAGCAACGCCGCGUGAAGGAAGAAGGCUUUCGGGUUGUAAACUUCUUUUGUCAGGGAAGAGUAGAAGACGGUACCUGACGAUUAAGCCACGGCUAACUACGUGCCAGCAGCCGCGGUAAUACGUAGGUGGCAAGCGUUGUCCGGAUUUACUGGGUGUAAAGGGCGUGUAGCCGGGUUGACAAGUCAGAUGUGAAAUCCUGCGGCUUAACCGCAGAACUGCAUUUGAAACUGUUGAUCUUGAGUACUGGAGAGGCAGAUGGAAUUCCUAGUGUAGCAGUGAAAUGCGUAGAUAUUAGGAGGAACACCAGUGGCGAAGGCGGUCUGCUGGACAGCAACUGACGGUGAGGCGCGAAGGCGUGGGGAGCAAACAGGAUUAGAUACCCCUGUAGUC
This 442-nucleotide ribosomal RNA is filed under the name uncultured bacterium. RNAcentral describes it as "partial 16S ribosomal RNA". It matches the Rfam family "Bacterial small subunit ribosomal RNA", at positions 338 to 795 of the family's 1533-position model. The record is from RNAcentral.